This 393-nucleotide ribosomal RNA is filed under the name uncultured bacterium. RNAcentral describes it as "bacterial SSU rRNA". It matches the Rfam family "Bacterial small subunit ribosomal RNA", at positions 504 to 897 of the family's 1533-position model. The record is from RNAcentral.
UGUGCCAGCCGCCGCGGUAAUACGUAGGGUCCAAGCGUUAAUCGGAAUUACUGGGCGUAAAGCGUGCGCAGGCGGUUGUGCAAGACCGAUGUGAAAUCCCCGGGCUUAACCUGGGAAUUGCAUUGGUGACUGCACGGCUAGAGUGUGUCAGAGGGGGGUAGAAUUCCACGUGUAGCAGUGAAAUGCGUAGAGAUGUGGAGGAAUACCGAUGGCGAAGGCAGCCCCCUGGGAUAACACUGACGCUCAUGCACGAAAGCGUGGGGAGCAAACAGGAUUAGAUACCCUGGUAGUCCACGCCCUAAACGAUGUCAACUAGUUGUUGGGGAUUCAUUUCCUUAGUAACGUAGCUAACGCGUGAAGUUGACCGCCUGGGGAGUACGGUCGCAAGAUUAA